RNAcentral lists this ribosomal RNA (484 nucleotides) under uncultured bacterium. Its description in RNAcentral is "partial 16S ribosomal RNA". It matches the Rfam family "Bacterial small subunit ribosomal RNA", at positions 30 to 507 of the family's 1533-position model. The record is from RNAcentral.
AUUGAACGCUGGCGGCAGGCCUAACACAUGCAAGUCGAGCGGAUGAAGGGAGCUUGCUCCUGGAUUCAGCGGCGGACGGGCGAGUAAUGCCUAGGAAUCUGCCUGGUAGUGGGGGAUAACGUCCGGAAACGGGCGCUAAUACCGCAUACGUCCUGAGGGAGAAAGUGGGGGAUCUUCGGACCUCACGCUAUCAGAUGAGCCUAGGUCGGAUUAGCUAGUUGGUGGGGUAAAGGCCUACCAAGGCGACGAUCCGUAACUGGUCUGAGAGGAUGAUCAGCCACACUGGAACUGAGACACGGUCCAGACUCCUACGGGAGGCAGCAGUGGGGAAUAUUGGACAAUGGGCGAAAGCCUGAUCCAGCCAUGCCGCGUGUGUGAAGAAGGUCUUCGGAUUGUAAAGCACUUUAAGUUGGGAGGAAGGGCAGUAAGUUAAUACCUUGCUGUUUUGACGUUACCAACAAAAUAAGCACCGGCUAACUUCGUG